This 528-nucleotide ribosomal RNA is filed under the name uncultured bacterium. RNAcentral describes it as "bacterial SSU rRNA". It matches the Rfam family "Bacterial small subunit ribosomal RNA", at positions 777 to 1304 of the family's 1533-position model. The record is from RNAcentral.
AAUAGAUACCCCGGUAGUCCACGCUGUAAACGUUGGGCGCUAGGUGUGGGGGACAUUCACGUCUUCCGUGCCGUAGCUAACGCAUUAAGCGCCCCGCCUGGGGAGUACGGCCGCAAGGCUAAAACUCAAAGGAAUUGACGGGGGGCCCGCACAAGCGGCGGAGCAUGUGGAUUAAUUCGAUGCAACGCGAAGAACCUUACCUGGGUUUGACAUGCACCAGACAUCCCUAGAGAUAGGGCUUCCCUUGUGGUUGGUGUGCAGGUGGUGCAUGGCUGUCGUCAGCUCGUGUCGUGAGAUGUUGGGUUAAGUCCCGCAACGAGCGCAACCCUCGUUCCAUGUUGCCAGCGCGUAAUGGCGGGGACUCAUGGGAGACUGCCGGGGUCAACUCGGAGGAAGGUGGGGAUGACGUCAAGUCAUCAUGCCCCUUAUGUCCAGGGCUUCACACAUGCUACAAUGGCCGGUACAGAGGGUUGCGAGACCGUGAGGUGGAGCGAAUCCCUUAAAGCCGGUCUCAGUUCGGAUCGGGGU